Molecule: long non-coding RNA, 471 nt
Filed under: Androctonus crassicauda
Lineage: Eukaryota; Metazoa; Arthropoda; Arachnida; Scorpiones; Buthidae
Source: RNAcentral
AAUUACUAAAAAUUAUUUUUAUCAUUAUUUGUAAUAAUAAUUAUAAGGUACUGAAAUAUUUUUUGAUUGCAAAUAAAUUUGUUGUGAUUUAAUAUAUUUUAGUAAUGGAAAAGAUAUAUAGUGCUCCCAAGAUAUAAUGCAAUCAUUUAUAUGCAAAUUUGGAUAUACUACAGGUUUUUCCUGUUCUCCAUCUCUUUAAAAGAGAUUCUGAGGCAGUUGGUUAUAGCACAGUUGUCUUAUGUGUCAGAUCCAUAUCCUACAAACUUGCAUUAUAACUGGGAAAUAGUGUAUUUUAUCCUGUUUGCCGCUGGCCAUUUCAAGUACUGCCUGCAGUGUCAAGCUAGAGGCAUUGUAUAAUUAAGCCUAAUUGAUAUUCAGAAAUUUAUAAAACUUCAUUUCUCUCAUAUUUUUCAUCAAAAAAACUAAAAUUUUACUGUUUUUGCAGUUUCUAUGCUCCUUUUUAUCUUUACA